RNAcentral lists this ribosomal RNA (253 nucleotides) under uncultured bacterium. RNAcentral's name for it is "partial 16S ribosomal RNA". It matches the Rfam family "Bacterial small subunit ribosomal RNA", at positions 524 to 776 of the family's 1533-position model. The record is from RNAcentral.
UACAGAGGUCCCAAGCGUUGUUCGGAUUCACUGGGCGUAAAGGGUGCGUAGGUGGCCAGGUAAGUUUGGUGUGAAAGCUCGGAGCUUAACUCCGAAAAGUCAUUGAAUACUAUCUGGCUGGAGGGUCGGAGGGGAGACUGGAAUUCUCGGUGUAGCAGUGAAAUGCGUAGAUAUCAGGAGGAACACCGGUGGCGAAGGCGGGUCUCUGGGCAACAACUGACGCUGAGGAGCGAAAGCGUGGGGAGCGAACAGG